RNAcentral lists this transfer RNA (93 nucleotides) under Moniliophthora perniciosa FA553. It matches the Rfam family "tRNA". Rfam says of the family: Transfer RNA (tRNA) molecules are approximately 80 nucleotides in length. The record is from Rfam by way of RNAcentral. Lineage: Eukaryota; Fungi; Basidiomycota; Agaricomycetes; Agaricales; Marasmiaceae.
GCCGGUUUAGCUUAGUGGUAGAGCGUUGCACUUGUAGGUCCCAUUCCCUGGGUCAGCAUGCAAAGGUCGGUUGUUCAAUCCAGCCAACCGGCA